RNAcentral lists this ribosomal RNA (354 nucleotides) under uncultured bacterium. Its description in RNAcentral is "partial 16S ribosomal RNA". It matches the Rfam family "Bacterial small subunit ribosomal RNA", at positions 338 to 709 of the family's 1533-position model. The record is from RNAcentral.
CCUACGGGAGGCAGCAGUAGGGAAUAUUGCUCAAUGGGGGAAACCCUGAAGCAGCAACGCCGCGUGGAGGAUGAAGGUUUUCGGAUUGUAAACCCCUUUUGUUAGAGAAGAUAAUGACGGUAUCUAACGAAUAAGCACCGGCUAACUCCGUGCCAGCAGCCGCGGUAAUACGGAGGGUGCAAGCGUUACUCGGAAUCACUGGGGGUAAAGAGCGCGUAGGCGGGAUAGCAAGUCAGAUGUGAAAUCCUAGGGCUUAACCAACGAACUGCAUUUGAAACUGUUAUUCUAGAGUAAGGGAGAGGUAAGUGGAAUUCUUGGGGUAGGGGUAAAAUCCGUAGAGAUCAAGAGGAAUAC